GCAAAACAUAAAGCAUAUAGUCUUUGAAGUAAGACACUCAGAAAAUAUAAUCCACAAAAAGUAUUCUUCCUUGAUGAGUUGAACGAAUGAGAUAAUUCUGUACAUACUACCUAGCAAGAGUAUCAUAAUUCUAGUAAAAUUGUAUAAGGCUUUUAUAUACAUCUAAUAAAUAUUCAAGUUGUAAAUACAUUUAGUAUCUCAGAUCCAGAAGUUAAUCAGUCGUAUUGGAACCAAGAAGGAUUCACAGGAGACCAGAGAUAAGGUGUAAGUAUUUAUAAAAAGUAAAAUAACAAAAAUACUGUACUCCGAGGAAAAUUUAAAACGGAAAGUAACUAAUCAAAUGGCAAAAUCAAAUGAUAAAACACAUCAAACGAAUGGACAACAACUGUCAUAUUCGUGACUUGGUACAGGCAUUCUUAAAUGUAGAAAAUGGUGUAUUGAACCUGGUUUUAUAGUUUUAUAGUUAAAUCUCAUGUUAUUUCAAGUUUGUUUUAUAUCAAUACAGACAGGAAAAGGAAGUAUAUAAAACAUGUUACAAACAUCCAGAAUGGUUUAUGCAGGAAAUAAAUGUUAUUGAAAGGAAGGGGACCAGUGGGUUUAAUUAAUUAUCGACAAGAACAUAAUGAAGUUAAAAGAGAAUAACAGCGAGAACUAAAUAACAACUAAUAGUUUAAGAUAUUUAAUAAUUAAAGAACAAUAACGGGUUUUUCAAUUUAAAAAAAUAUAUAAAAAUAAAAAAUAAAUAGGCAACUCAGUUGAGAAUACAACUUGUAAUAAAAGAAAACAACAAAUGUACAAACUAGAUAGGAUAUGUCACUUCCUACAAUAAUAUGAAUAAAGCGAUACUUUACAUAGUAUACGUUUAAGAAAAGGAAAGUGACCAGGGGCCUGUUUAUCGAAACUGUCCUAAGUUCUGUCCUAAGAAUUUCUUAGGACAGAAUUUAGGAUAAAGUUAGGACAACGUACGACACGUCUCAGCAUGCACAUCGAAGCUAUCUUAGGAAUAUCUUAGCUAGGACCUCCUAACCGAUGUCCUAAGUGUUGGCGGAAAAGAAAAUACAAAUUAGAUAUGAAAAAUUACAAUAUGAUAUCAUAUUUUAUCAAUAAUUUUGUUUUUUCAAAUAUAGUUAAUUAGAAACUAAUUAUUGGUGUUACAAUAAAGAUAAUAAAUGAUUAUUGUAUAAUAUUUGUACAUUUAAACUGUAAAAAACAAAACAUAAGACAAAAAUAAUAACUACGUAUUAUAUAAGAAUUUAACAAACUAAUUGUAAACUAGGUAUAUAAUCGGUAAAAAUCAUUACAUGUUUUUGAGCGAGUUGAAUUCGAAAUGUCAAGGUUUCAAUAUUUAACAGUCCAAAGACAAAUCUCGUGCAUUUUUCAUAUAAAUCUGGAGUAUUUCAACUAUUUUACUACUAGUAAAAACAACAAUACGUGUGAACAUGAUCAAAAGGCGAAAUUGAAUAUAUCCUAAAGUUAGGACCAUCCUAAGACCAUCUUAAGACACCUAAAUUGAUAUCCUAAAGUUAGGACAAUUCUUAGGAUUUUCCCUAAGUUGAGACAUGUUUGAUCAACCCACGUAGGACUAAGAUGUGUCCUAAGUUGGUCUUAGGACACGUCCUAAUCCUAAGAGAGCUUCGAUAAACAGGCCCCUGGUGUUUUAUUUGAAUUUUUCCUGUUUAUAAAUAACGUUGACAUUUAUCACACUCAUUAUUUUUCUUACGUUUAUAAAUGUGACUUACGCUUUUAGGCAUCAGUUAACUCACUAUACCAAUCAGCUGGCAAAAGAAACUACUGCAAAUCUAAAAACAUUUUCUCGGUUAAAGGUACACCCUUCAGACGAGGUAAAUAUAAAGUUUUUAACAAAAAUGUUAUCCCUUUGAACAGCUUUGUGCAGAUCUACCCUAAAACAGAUUAUAACAGUUACACAUCAGUACGGGGAAGGACGUUUUAGGGGAGAAUAUGAUAUUCUGAAAGUUCCACUCUAGAACAUUAAUGAACUGUUUAUUCCCUAGAACAAUUUACAAUGGUCGAUCUGUCCAAGGAUCAAAUAGUGUAGAUCAUCAAGAUGUUCUAAUAUACAUAUUUCUAUAACACUGAAUACUCUUCUUUCUGCAGUAAAAGGUGAUCUUCAAAAAUAUUGUGUUGAGAUAUAUUUAACCAGUGUUAUCAAUCAGAUGUGGAUUCUUCAAAAGUCUACUGCUAAAUCUUACACCUUAAUCUUUGCAAUUUUGCAGCAUCAUUACGUUUAAGACCUUUCAAUUUUUUACACUUAACACUACUAUUCCCAGUGUUUAAUUGAAAGAUCGACUUCACCAUAUAAUUAAACAAAACUUAUUCUAUGAAAAUGGGAGCCGUAGAUAUGAUUUUCUUGUUUUGGGUUAUAAUAAUUCUUAUUUUGCACCCCUUCUUGUCAAUUUGUGUUUGUAAAAUGAAGCAGAUUUUUUUCAUAACCUUUUUAAAGACAAAAAGUAAAAGCUCCUUACGAUUUUUUUCUUCUCUCAUAUAUACUGAUGAUGUCCUAUCACUCAAUAACCCAUAUUUCAGUAUUUAAUAUUCUUGUCAUGGGUAGAACAUACAUAAACUAAACUAACACCAUUUUCAACUCAAUCACAGUUUAAUAUUCUUGAACGUGUCAAUAAAACAAUUCUUUUUUAUUUAUUGAAAUUUAUCUGUGAUAAUUUUAACGUCACAAAAACUGCGUCACUUUUUGUGGCGUUGAUACAUUCAUGUGACUCACAGAUCAUACUUUGUUUGGGUGUCCUUGUGCGAUGUCAUAAAUUUAUUGGAGGUGUCUAUUGUUUAUAUUCUGUGGUUUACAUAUUGUAAUGUACUAUAAAAUUAUUCAUUGAUGUAUUUCUCUGUCCUGAGUAUUCUUGCGUUUAUUUGUACUAUAUUCCUGUAACGUAUUGUCAUUUUAGGUAUAUUUUUACAUUCCUUUAUAAGCGGGUGGUUUGGCUAGCUAUUAAUCCAGGUUCAACCCAUCAUUUUGUCUUCAAAUGUCAUCUACUAAGACAAUGGUAUGGCAGUUGUUAUCAUAUAGCUCGUUUCUAUGUAUUUUUGCGUCAGUUUUUGUUGCAGUUUAUUUUUUCUUUGGUUCCAUUAUUUUCUUCUUAUAGUUCCUGUGUUCCCUUCGAUUUUAGUUUGUAAUCAAGAUUCGCUUAAUCGAUAUAUGACCAUUGAAGACCGUUUUACUACUGUUGCUUUUACUUAGAAUAGUUCUAUGACAUUAUUUUCAUUAAGUUCUGAAGAGAGUUUAGAACUGAUAUCGAAUGAAAGGUAGUUACAUUCGUUUGAAAUGCAUUCGUCCCUGUCUUUUAUUUGUUACAUUCCUAAUUACAGUUAAAACAAAACAAUACUUGGUUUCGAAGGUCACAGUUCAAAAGAUUAAUAACAAAUCAAAUUUAUGAACAUGAAUACAUAACGCGUGCGCAUCUGCAUUCAUAACACAACCGGAAAAUAGAUUUGUUUUAAAUACGGCGAGCUCUGUUGUUAUGCUGCUGUAACUCUCUCAUUUUGAAGUCUAACAUAAAUUGAUUGGCAAAUACAAAUUAACCUUCCUUGUUUUCAGUUAAAACUUAAAAUUCAAAGUGAUAGGUAUGCAGAAAAAUUCAGUAAUGCAGUUAAAAGUUUCCAAGCUUCACAGAGAACUGCUGCACGAAAGGAACGAGCGAGUAUAGCAAGAGCAAGAGCACAUUCGCCAUCAUUUAAGGUGUUAAUACAGGUCAGUAAUCGUUUACUCGUAUAAAUUGUUUUACAUUGUGACAUGCUGCAUACAUAAACGUCAUUUUGGUCUCUGAUGGACGGUUUACUCAUUUGGCAAUGCUAACACAUCUGUCUUUUUGUUUUAUUAGAAGAUCUAUUAAAAUGUGAUAUCUAUAUACAGAUAUGUAGCGUACUGUAUGCUUUAUUUCUCACAUCAGGCAAGUUAAUAAUUAGAAAAAACCUUCACGUAAAAUUGUGUGAUUAACAUCCGAUAAUGUCAGGUAUUUUAAACUAACAGCAAUUUUCCUUUGUUGUAGUGCUGUUUUAAAAUUCUUUGUUGUCAAUAAUCUAUCAACUCCUCAAAAAUUAAAUACAGUGCAUCAUCUCUGAAUCGGAACUAGACAUUUCACGUAAGAAUUUUUUGAUUUAUGUGAGAAUGUGAAUAAUUUGAAUUUAAAAAAAAGCAAAAUCAGUGCCCCUUGAGAUGCAAGCGAAAUGUUGCUUAUAUAUAUAUAAGCUGUAAAAUGUUUUAUUCCUCUUUCUCCUUUGUAAAUGUGCAAAUACCAUCUAUCUUUGUUCUUUAAAAUUUUGAAUUCCAUAAAGGAUAAACGCAUAUAAACAAUUAUUACAGCCUGUUUAGCAUUGGUAUGUUAUGAGGUUAUAUUAGUUAAGGGUACUCUAUGUUCAUAUUGUGUUCACAGUAUAUUACAUAUCUGAGAAAUAAUUGAAGUACAGUCCAAUGAGACUUUUUAUGUUAAAUACCAGGUAAUCCUUAUUCCAUUUCUUGCUUUGUAUUUUCUAAUCACUUAUAAUUUAUCUCUUUAAUUCCAGUCUCCUUUUGAAGAUGUACCUAAAGAAAAAGUCCCGUCUGUUAAACGACAAAGGUAAGUUGUUUUAACCGGUGUUUUUUUAACUCGUGUUAACAGUAGAUCUUUAAAAACUGUUUUCAUGGAAAUAAGUAUACCAUAUUUUUAAAUAAGCGCUAUCACGGUAGGUAUAGUGUCCGGCUAGUAUCGUGGUUUUUCGAGUGAUUUUGUCCAUUUUAUUCGAGUCUAGUUCGGGCCUUUUUCGAGUGUUAAAACAUGCGAUAAGUUCAAUUAACGGAUAUUUCGGAAUUAUAACAGUUUUUAACAUUACUUCCCAUCUUAUAUUGAAUACUAUAUAUGUUUUGAUCAACAAAGAAGCUCAAUUUCCCUGUAUUUAAUGAAAAAAAAUCUGUGUUUGUUAUUGUCCGAUUUUUUUCGAGAGCAAACAGAAAAUUUGAAGGUAUUCGAGACUUUAAAAAAUGACUUUUUCUAGUUUAUCACUGUAAUUAAGUGAAGGACAAUACCAUAUAUUCCCAAUAAGUCAUCAAAAACAUAUCAAAAUGAUUUUUUUUCUUCAAUUUAAUGCAAAUAUUCUGUUUGGAGACGUUAUACAACUACUUUCGAGUGCUCAUUUAGAAAUAACUUGAUCCUUAACAAAACGGUGUCUAGAACAGUAUGCAGGGAACUCAUAUUCAUUUCAACUUCAUUUCAUGCCACUUUUGAUUUUACAUGCAGUUUAUAAUAAUAACUCCGGAGAUUAAUAAAAGAAAUCUAUUAAUUAAAAAAACCAUAAAAAAACACACACACUUUAUCCACCCCAUUUUUAUUGCCAUUUAACACAAAAUUAGAAUAAAAUUUCAGAUAAAAUCAACAAUGAAAUGAAUAGUUCAUUAGCCUAAAUAUGAUCCUUUAGCAAUGAUAGACAAAUACAAAGGUGUAUAUUAUUUGCUAUCCCCAGCUAGAUUGUCCAGUGUUUCGGACGACACCAGGAACAACAUUGUAAUGUCUUGAUUAAUAUUCAUAUUUUCCACUUUUGAGACACUUUUCUUUUAUUAAAAGGAAGUUAUCAUAGUGUUUAGUUGCUGUAUGACCAAUUAUUAUAUUUGCAGAAUUAGACUCCUCACAGUUGUAGCAUUAAGAUAAUGAAAAAUCUAAGAUGUAUGUUCUUUUAAGAACAAACAUAUAUCUCAUCUUAUACAAUAUAUCUAUGUACGUCUCAAUUCGAAUUGUCUAUGCGUAUGUUCCGGACCAUACGCGUAUGGUCACGACCAUAUGCGUAUACUCAUAUGGUCAAACUGUACGCGUAUGGUUGGACCAUAUAUGAUAUAUAUAGGAAGAUGUAUGAAUGCCAAUGAAACAACUCUCUCCUUCAAAUAACAAUUUAUAAAAGUAAACCAUUAUAGGUCAAGGUACGGCCUUCAACACGGGGCCUUGGCUCAAACCGAACAACAAGCUAUAGAGGGCCCUCAAAAUAACUAGUUCAAAACCAUUCAAACGGGAAAACUAACAGUUUGAGGGUGGGUUGGGGUAGAAAAAAGGAAAAUAUUAAACGAAAGAUACAUUAUGUUACUUGGCGAAAAAAGUAAUAAGUGGCAAAAUAUAUAUUUGUUUUGCGAAAUAGGUGGCGAAAAAAUAAUUGCCCAAGGGGAAACCCAAUUUGGGAUCAUAUAAGUAUACAUUAGAAACGAUUCAAUAACACAAUAAACUUAUCUAUACCAAUGACGGUUACAUGAAAUGUAUCAACUUUAUAGUUCAAUGGCUUCCCAAAACAGCACAAGUUACAAGUUGAAACCCAUUGUCUUUCAAUUAAUUGUCUUAAGUUGUGUGUAUCUGUUUUCUGUCCAUCUCUAGUGUCAAUUGUAAGACUCUUCAUCAUAUCGAUUUUUUUGUCAGUUAGUAAACUAGUUGAACUCUUGUUAAACAGUUCAUUCAGACAUUUUUUGAAGUUAUCUUCCAAGUCGACAUUUUGUUGUUCAGUAAUAGUUAUCCCAUGAGGUCCAAUUACUUAUAUGGUGCCGAACACUCACAUUAGAUUGUUGACAUCACGGAUAUAUACUGUACAUGCAAUUUAUAAGAUGUGAGAAAAAGAAUAUAUACAAAUGAACGAUACUUGUUUCAUGAUAAAAGUGUUGAUACACCAUGUGCCUUGAAAGUAUUCAAUUUGAUCCUUUAUUUUAUAGUUUUUAAACGUAAACACAUAACGAAAUGUGUAUAUCACUCGCUAAAAAAAGGACACACUCGAAAAAGCCCGGACAUGAAAAACUGAAUUUAGUCACAAAAAGUCGUUUUCAAUGCAAUAACAAUAGUUUUUGCAAAGUGUCUGUAUAUCUAAGUAUAUCCGUCGACAUUUGUAUUGGUAUGUGUAAGAAAAUGACUUUAUUAUUUUGGAAUAAAAGCAUUUUAAGGCUAAAUUUAACUUUUUUUUAACGAAAAGCAAUGUCGGAAUGAUACUAUCUUUAUAUCUAAAAUACUAGCAUAUCAUGUAUAACCUUGUAUAUCAAACUCAAGCUUCUAUAUCACGCUUUGUUAGAAAAGAAGUCUGUUUGUUUACAUUUUUGAUCAUAUUCACUCGAAAAAAAAGUAGUCGCACUCGAAAAAGCCCGAUCAAAUCACUCGAAAAACCACGAUCCUAGCCGGACACCAUAUCUACCGUGGCUAUUAUGAAGAUUUUGUUGAAAUCAAAUAGAAAACUUCACGUUGUAAUUAAAAGCAAUGCAUAUAUCAAAUGUAGAUCAAUUUUCGAAGCAAAAAGUUAAAGAUAUGCUUUGAUUUUCUACUCAGGCUGUCAAAGAUGGAACAAAAUGUUGAUUUGGAAACUAUUCUCGAAAGAGAGAAUGCAAUAAAAGAAUUAGAGGUUUGUAUUAACUUUAUAAAUGAGAUAAAUCCUUACUAUUUGAUAUCAUUAAUAUCAAUAAAAAAAAAUGUUCUCGUUAAAAAGACAUAGCGGUACAUACCCUUUAAUUUUGACUUGAAGGGGUAUUUGUGAUUUCUAUGCUGUUCGUUAAAGCAAUAUCAGUCUAGGUUUAAGAAAAAAUUGACUUGAUACGGAUUUGAGAAUUCUUUUCAAGUCUUUUUGGUCUUGUAUGUCCCCAAGUAACUGAGUAUCCCGGCUUUCAAAUGUUUUGGUUUGAGCGUUUCAAAAGAUGGUCAAUCUAGAAAAGAGCCUCCGACACACUAUCAAAAUGCUGCCACAUACCAGAGUCAGGAAUAUGACAGUUGGUAUCCAUUCGUUUGAUGUGUUUGAGCUUUUGAUUUUGCCAUUUUUUUACGGACUUUCCGUUAUGAAUUUUCCUAGGAGGUCAGUAUUUUUGUGAUUUUUAUAUUUGAUUAGAUAUAAUUAAAAGAUGAACCACAAAAAACAAAUAUCAUUUAGAUAAUUAAGAUAAUUGUAGUUCCUAAUUUUUGAUAAACAAAUGAAUGACUCUAACGUUUCUACUCAGUAUUUUGUUUUCUUUUUUAAAACUGUCCUGUACCAAGUCAGGUAUAUGGCCAUUGUUAUAUUAUAGUUCGUCUCAAUUUAACGUUGCGUCGUUUGUUUUCUCUUAUUUUUGAGUGUAAAUUGACAUUGCGAUAAGACGUGUCACGCUACUUGUCUAUCCCAAAUUCUUGUAUUUGGUUUUGAUGUUAUAUUUGUUAUUCUCGUGGGAUUUUGUCUGAUGCUUGGUCCGUUUCUGUGUGUGUUACAUUGUAGUGUUGUGUCGUUGUUCUCUUAUAUUUAUGCGUUUCCCUCAGUUUUAGUUUGUUACCCCGAUUUUGUUUUUUGUCCAUGGAUUUAUGAGUUUGAACAGCGGUAUACUACUGUUGCCUUUAUUUACAAGUACAUUUAUCACGUUACUAAUUCCAGCAUGACAUCACAGAAAUAAAUGAGAUCUUCAAGGAACUUGGUGCGAUGGUACAUGAACAAGGGGAAGUUAUAAGUAAGUUUAAGACUUUUAUUCGGAUGGAAAACUAUUGUUUAGUCAAUUACGUAAUUGUUUUCUGUAAUGCUGUUUAUUAACGAAUCAGUGCUGUCAAAAAAGAACCGUAACCGAACUUUUACAUUUAAUAUAGCAUUUCAAGAUAAGAUAAAUCUUUUUUUUUAAAUAUUUCUUAAGAAAAGAUUUUUUAAGAUGUUAUUUUUCUAUAUUCAAAUUAUCUCCCCAUCAGAUACGAUAGAUGACAAUGUAGACACAGCAGUUAUACAUAUACAAGAAGCAAAACAAGACCUAGCAACAGCUGUGUCCAUCCAGGUAUGUCUCUGUAAAGUUAUCUUAUACGGGCGUGCUAUGAAUUCAAUAUACAUCUGCUUAUUAAUAUGUUUUAUAAUUGAUUCUAAAUUAAUUCAAUUGUGUACAAUUUACCAAAUUGUAAAGAACAAUAUAUUUUAAAAAUCCUUCCAAGAUUUAAAAAAAAUUAAGAUUGAUUUUCUCUAGUACAUCAUUAUAUGUUAUGUGUUUUAGUUAUUAUGUAAUUUUAAAAUUCCCUGUAUAUGAUUGAAAACACAAUCGUUUGUAGUUUUGUUUCGGAGUGUUUAUACUGUAUGUCACGGUCUUAAUCGUUUUCCUUCUUAGUUCUUUUUUUGUUCAUUUAAUGAGUUCUUUUAUCUAUUUCAGGAAAAAGUGAGAAGUAAAAAAUGCCUAUGUUUGGUUGUUCUGAUUGUUGGAGUAGUGGUUAUUAUUGCAAUACUAUUACCAGUACUUCUAUCUAUAAACAAUUGAUAAGGUAGGCUUGCAAUACUAUUACCGGUACUUCUAUCUAUAAACAAUUGAUAAGGUAGGCUUGCAUAUCUAUAAACAAUUGAUAAGGUAGGCUUGUAAUACUAUUACCGGUACUUCUUUCUAUAAACAAUUGAUAAGGUAGGCUUACAAUAUUAUGACCGGUACUUCUAUCUAUAAACAAUUGAUAAGGUAGGCUCGCAACACCUUCUACUUACUAUCAAAUUUUGAGAACACAGAUUUUGAUUAAGGAUUUUUUUUAAAUAGGAUGCAUCAUUCAUAUCGUUUAUAAUUGAAUUUUUCAAUCCCACAUGCAUUACACCAGGGUUUCCUCUCUUUUGGAAUACACGUCAAACUCAGACUUUAUCACGUAUGACAACAAUAUGUACACGUCAAGCCUAACACUAAAAUGAUAGGUUAAUCAAUGAUGCUUAUUUAAAAGAUGGACUCCAAAGUCAAAUAACACAAAUCAAAGAAAAGAGACCAUCAGAAGACAGAGACGUAUACAGUUGGUGGUUUUCUCAGGAAACACAUCAAUGCCCUGCUUCAUAUUGAAUACAAGCUACACAAUAAGACACAUUGAGAUUUUAAAAUAAUUUGACUGCAAAAUUUCUUGGUAGUGAUUUUUUGUUUAUGAAACGGCGAGUUAUGGUGGCUGGAGAUUAUGUAAACAUACUUUAUUUUUGUUUGAUACAAUGGUAAUGUAUUAUUCGAAAUAUUAAGGAUUUUUUUAUCCCAGGCAUAGAUUACCUCAGCCGUAUUGGGCACAACUGGAAUUUUUAGUUCUCAAUGCUCUUCAACUCUAUACUUGUUUGACUUUCAAACUAUUUUGAUUUGAGCGUCACUGAUGAGUCUUCUGUAGACGAAACGGGCGUCUGACGUAUUAAUUUAUAAGUCUGGUACCUUUGAUAACUAUUGAACUUCCCAAACUAUUUGUAACGAUUAAAAACUGGAUUUUUUUUGUAGAGGGAAAUUACAGAGUCAUGCAUGUGGUAUAGCAACACUUCUCCAUUGGUCACAAUAAGCUGGAAUUUUUUAAGAAAACCCUGGCAGACUAUGUCCUUUAUAUACAGCAGUACAGAAACAACUGAAUAGACAUUAUGAUUAACUAAACAUUCAACUUAAUAAAACGUGUCUCUCUUUCAUACCAAUUAUAUAUAGCUGUUUGAAACAAUGAUGAAGAUUCUCUUUUGUUUCAAAUAUAAUAAAUUACAUCAUGUAUAGC
This 10427-nucleotide long non-coding RNA is filed under the name Mytilus galloprovincialis (Mediterranean mussel). Lineage: Eukaryota; Metazoa; Mollusca; Bivalvia; Mytilida; Mytilidae. The record is from RNAcentral.